CGUCUCAAAUGCGCCCCUUCAACAUCUACAUAUACCUGGCAUGGGGGUAUGUUAAGGCACAAUAUGCACCUUAUGAGAUACCCUGGAGUGUCUACUUUUACAAAUGUUAGGCCUUUGUGGGCUUUUUUGAAUAGUCAAACUGUUAUAAUACCCCAAAUGGAAGCAUAGGCUCAUUAAAUCCGUCUCUCAAAAUUCUACUGUGAAUACUGAAAAGAACAGGCCUCCUAUAUGGCACUGUAACUUCACAAAAUAGUGCCAAAGACAUACAAUGGGGGUGUCAUUUUACCCAGCAGAGGUAACUGAACACAAAAUAAAACUUUGUACAGGAAUAGCACACACCAACUUUACAAAAUACACAUGAGAAUUUCUUUGUUAUAAGUUUGUGUGCCAAGAAACAGAAAAAACUAAAUUUUACUCCAAUAUUUAGCAGAGGUUGGCGGUGAAAUGGCU
Molecule: non-coding RNA, 450 nt
Organism: Pelobates cultripes (western spadefoot toad)
Lineage: Eukaryota; Metazoa; Chordata; Amphibia; Anura; Pelobatidae
Source: the annotation of a GenBank genome assembly